RNA transcript from Solanum pennellii, 1815 nucleotides. It is a transcript of the gene named cytochrome P450 CYP72A219-like, with no coding region annotated. The record is from RefSeq and is a predicted model, not a curated record. The transcript has 5 exons. NCBI's taxonomy places the organism in Eukaryota, Viridiplantae, Streptophyta, Magnoliopsida, Solanales, Solanaceae.
AGGUCAGAUGAACUUGUAUCUAAACUUCUACCUCCGCCCCUGAAUAUAAGGUCCCUUCUUAACUUCAACAGUAUAAAUAAGUCAUUCAACUCCUUAAGGGAAAUAUCAAAUGUAUAAAAAUAGUUAUGGAGAUUGUUGCUUACUACUUAGUUUCUUUUUUAUUAACAAUAACUUCAGUAAUAUAUGCAUGGAAGUUGUUAGAUUGGGUAUGGUUUAGGCCAAGGAAACUACAAAAAUGCCUAAGAAAACAAGGUCUCAAAGGGAACUCUUACAAAUUAAUUUUUGGAGAUCUCAAAGAGUAAGCCAAAAGCUUUGAAGAUGUUAAGUCCAAGCCAUUGAAUGUCUUUGAUGAUGACAUAACUCCUAGAAUUGUUCCUUAUUUUGUUGAUACAAUCAAGAAACAUGGUAAAAAUUGUUUUAUAUGGAUUGGGCCAAAGCCUAUGGUACUAGUAACGGAUGCUGAGGUAAUAAGAGAUGUGUUUAACAAAUAUGUUCUCUACCAAAAGCCUAAACCAACUCCCCUCACCAAGUUGCUAGCACAAGGACUUGCAAGCUAUGAAGAGGAUAAAUGGGCAAUGCAUAGAAAAAUCCUCAAUCCUGCUUUCCAUAUGGAGAAGAUUAAGAAUAUGGUUCCAGCAAUUCAUUUGAGCUGCACUGAAAUGGUGAGCCAAUGGGAGGAGUCAAUCUCAACGAAAGGAACAUCUUGUGAAAUCGAUAUAUGGCCUUACCUUCAAAAAUUGUCUAGUGAUGUGAUUUCUCGAACAGCCUUUGGAAGCAACUAUGAAGAAGGUCGAAUGAUAUUUGAGCUUCAAAAAGAACAAGCUCAGCAUUUCAUUGAAGCUACUCGUACCUUAUAUAUUCUAGGAUCGAGGUUUUUGCCAACUAAGAAAAAUCGAAGGAUGAAGGAGAUCGAUAAAAAAGUUCAAGCAAUGAUUAGAGGAAUAAUUGAUAAAAGAGUGAAGGCAUUGAAAGCAGGGGAGGCCAAUACUGAUGACUUAUUAGGGAUGUUGUUGGAAUCCAACUUUAAACAAAUUGAACAACAUGGCAACAAGGAUUUUGGUAUGAGUACGCGAGAGAUCAUCGAGGAGUGUAAAUUGUUCUAUUUUGCUGGACAAGAAACCACCUCUGUAUUGCUUGUAUGGACUAUGAUUUUGUUGAGUAGGCAUCUAGAUUGGCAAACUCGCGCUAGAGAAGAGGUUUUGCAAGUCUUCGGUGAUAGCAAACUAGAAUUUGAUGGAUUAAACCGCUUAAAAAUUGUGACAAUGAUUUUGAACGAGUCGUUAAGGCUAUAUCCACCAGCUGAUUCACUUAAUCGAAAGACUACAACCAAUACCAAGCUAGGGGAACUAAGUUUACCAGCUGGAGUGAUGCUUGUAUUGCCAAUAAUUUUAUUGCAUCAUGACAAGGAAAUAUGGGGCGAAGAUGCAACAGAGUUCAAGCCAGAGAGAUUUAGUGAAGGCGUUUCAAAGGCAACAAAGGGUCAAAUGACGUUUUUCCCAUUUGGUGGGGGACCUAGGAUAUGCAUUGGGCUAAACUUCACGAUGAUAGAAGCGAAGAUGGCUUUGGCUAUGAUUCUACAACACUUCUCCUUUGAACUAUCUCCUUCUUAUACACACGCUCCGCAGUCUGUAAUAACUAUUCAACCCCAAUAUGGUGCUCCUCUUAUAUUGCAUAAAUUGUAAGCUAGCAUUAUUAAGUUGAAGUAUUUUGCAUCUUUGGUCUUUACUUUUGUUCGAUAGUAAGUCCACAUAAUCAAUAAGUACAUAUGUAAUUUGUGUAAGUUGAAUGAUCGAUGUUAAAAAAAAUUCUUAACUA